RNAcentral lists this ribosomal RNA (415 nucleotides) under uncultured prokaryote. Its description in RNAcentral is "bacterial SSU rRNA". It matches the Rfam family "Bacterial small subunit ribosomal RNA", at positions 505 to 918 of the family's 1533-position model. The record is from RNAcentral.
GUGUCAGCAGCCGCGGUAAUACAGAGGUCCCGAGCGUUGUUCGGAUUCACUGGGCGUAAAGGGUGCGUAGGUGGUGGCGCAAGUCCGGUGUGAAAUCUCCGGGCUCAACCCGGAAAAGUCAUCGGAAACUGCGUCGCUAGAGGGUUGGAGAGGGGACUGGAAUUCUCGGUGUAGCAGUGAAAUGCGUAGAUAUCGAGAGGAACACCAGUGGCGAAGGCGAGUCCCUGGACAACUCCUGACACUGAGGCACGAAAGCUGGGGGAGCAAACAGGAUUAGAUACCCUGGUAGUCCCAGCCCUAAACGGUGCACAUUUGCUGUGGGCGGAUUACACCCCGUCCGUGGCGUAGCUAACGCGUUAAAUGUGCCGCCUGGGGAGUACGGCCGCAAGGCUAAAACUCAAAGGAAUUGACGGGG